CCUACGGGAGGCAGCAGUCGAGAAGCUUCGGCAAUGGGCGAAAGCCUGACCGAGCGACGCCGCGUGAGCGAUGAAGGCCCUAGUGGUUGUAAAGCUCUGUCAGAUUGGGAAUAAAUGCCGGGGGCGAAUAACCCCCGGAGCUGACGGUACCAUCAGAGGAAGCACCGGCUAACUCCGUG
RNAcentral lists this ribosomal RNA (179 nucleotides) under uncultured bacterium. RNAcentral's name for it is "partial 16S ribosomal RNA". It matches the Rfam family "Bacterial small subunit ribosomal RNA", at positions 338 to 507 of the family's 1533-position model. The record is from RNAcentral.